Molecule: long non-coding RNA, 656 nt
Filed under: Callithrix jacchus (white-tufted-ear marmoset)
Lineage: Eukaryota; Metazoa; Chordata; Mammalia; Primates; Cebidae
Description: lncRNA (ENSCJAG00000073575.1)
Source: RNAcentral
GUGAUGGAAUUGUAUGAAGCAAUCCCAAAUAUCUUCAGAUCAGAUGCUCAUAGUGCAGGGUGACAGGAUAACAUAUACGUGUGUGCAGGGAAAGGGAAUGUUUCAAUCCCAAACAAAAUAAUCACAGUGCGAAGACAUUAAGACAACUUCUGGUCAAAUGACCUUAGUAUACUUUCCUCCAUUCCCAGAAAUUAGGCCUCGGACCCUGAUAUGAUUUGGCUCUGUUUCUCCACACAAAUCUUAUGUUGAAUUUUAAUUCCCAGUGGUUGGGGAGGGACCUGGUGGGAGGUGACUGGAUCAUGGGUGAAUAUCCCCUCUGCUGUUCUCAUAAUACUGAGUUUUCAAGAGAUCUGAUGUUUUAAAUUGUGUGACAUUUCCCCUUUUGCUCUCUCUCUCCUGUCACCAUAUGAAGAAGAUUCUUGCUUUCUCUCCACCUUCCUCGAUGGGUGCAAAUUUCCUGAGGCCUCCCUACCCAUGCCUCCUGUACAGUCUAAAAAACUGACAGAUUAUGCCACAUUGAAAACAAUUAUCUUGUGUACAAGAAGGACCUACCAUGGCAAAGUCAGCCCCAACACAUUCAGAAGAAAUUUGUUUCAGCUAUUCAGUUAACUACUCAGUUAACAGUCAUGUUUUGCUCUGAAUUAUUCACAAUAUCC